UACGUAGGGUGCGAGCGUUGUCCGGAAUUAUUGGGCGUAAAGAGCUCGUAGGCGGUUUGUCGCGUCGACUGUGAAAACCUGGGGCUUAACUCUGGGCCUGCAGUCGAUACGGGCAGACUUGAGUUCGGUAGGGGAGACUGGAAUUCCUGGUGUAGCGGUGAAAUGCGCAGAUAUCAGGAGGAACACCAAUAGCGAAGGCAGCUCGCUGGGACGGUACUGACGCUAAGGCGCGAAAGCGUGGGGAGCGAACAGG
RNAcentral lists this ribosomal RNA (253 nucleotides) under uncultured bacterium. Its description in RNAcentral is "partial 16S ribosomal RNA". It matches the Rfam family "Bacterial small subunit ribosomal RNA", at positions 524 to 776 of the family's 1533-position model. The record is from RNAcentral.